GUGUUAGUUGCAACAAAGGCCCAAAACAAAUGGCCCAAAUGUCCUCCAGGAUGGGCCCUCUGAAUGUGCGAGCUCUUGGUAGCAACAUGCCUGACUUGAGGUUAUACCAAGAAGAAAUCAUCAUUCCCACUGAGGGUCUCCCAGCUGCAUGGAAAUGGGACAACAUUGGUAACAGGUGCCAACCUGUGAGAUUUUGGAGCUGUCAUUGCUCCCCAUGGGCACAUGGGUGCACCAGUCAUAGAGUACCAUAAAGUAGCCAGCACUCCCGCACUUGUCCUUCAAAGCCUGACCCUUCCAGUAGCAGCAAUCAGCUUCCUCUAGACCUAGAAUCAUGCGACAGUCCAUUUGCAAAGAGCAGGAUAAAGAACUUGAGCCAUCUAGUGGGCUCUUGGGCAUAGUUGGGAAGACGCAAGGCAAAUUCCCUCUUCCAAAAUAUCCACCUUCCCAUUCCACCACACUUAACACUUGGCUAUUAAAAACCUUAUUCUUGAGGUCAGAAAGACUUGCGGGGCGCUGGAGUUCCCCAGUGAAAAUGCCAAUAGCACUGGGUAAUAAACACGUAAGUUAUUGUCAUGGGUGAUUUGCAAACCUGCCAGCAAGGCAGUGAGCAGUUCCCUGGGUGGGGUCCAGGACGCAAAAGGAGAGAGUUCACGAAAGUCAAGAUGAGAGGACGGCAAACGGAGAGCUGCCCAGUGCACAGAUCUGCCUGAAGGAACACUGCUUCCCAAGGAAACACAUCUGUUUGUUGUGAAGCUCUCACUAUGAAAAACAGAAUCUGACCGGGCGCGGUGGCUCACGCCUGUAAUCCCAACACUCUGGGAGGCUGAGAUGGGCAGAUUGCUUUAGCUCAGGAGUUUGAGACCAGCCUGGCCAACAUGGUGAAACCCUGUCUCUACCAAAAAUACAAAAAAUUAGCAGGGUGUGGUGGCGUGCACCUGUGGACCCAGCUAUCUGGGAGGCUGAGGUUGGAAGAUCACUUGUGGGAGGCAGAGAUUGCAGUGAGCUAAGAUUGUGCCACUGCACUCCAGCCUAGACAACAGAGUGAGACCCCAUGUCAGAAGGAAAGAAAGAAAGAAAGAGAGAGAGAGAGAAGGAAGGAAGGAUAGAAGGAA
This 1112-nucleotide long non-coding RNA is filed under the name Homo sapiens (human). Its description in RNAcentral is "HSALNT0158364". The record is from RNAcentral. Lineage: Eukaryota; Metazoa; Chordata; Mammalia; Primates; Hominidae.